RNAcentral lists this ribosomal RNA (305 nucleotides) under uncultured bacterium. Its description in RNAcentral is "bacterial SSU rRNA". It matches the Rfam family "Bacterial small subunit ribosomal RNA", at positions 333 to 629 of the family's 1533-position model. The record is from RNAcentral.
CUUUUCCUACGGGAGGCAGCAGUUAGGAAUAUUCGUCAAUGGGGGAAACCCUGAACGAGCAAUGCCGCGUGAACGAUGACGGUCCUCUGGAUUGUAAAGUUCUGUUGUUUGGGAAGAACGGCUCUAAUAGGAAAUGAUUAGAGAUUGACUGUACCAUUCAAGAAAGCCACGGCUAACUACGUGCCAGCAGCCGCGGUAAUACGGAGGAUUCAAGCGUUAUCCGGAUUUAUUGGGUUUAAAGGGUGCGUAGGCGGUCGGAUAAGUUAGAGGUGAAAUCCCGAGGCUCAACUUCGGAAUUGCCUCUG